GUCUCUGUGGCGCAAUUGGUUUGCGUGUUCGGAUGUUAACCGAGAGGUUGGUGGUUCAAGCCCACCCAGGGACG
Syngnathoides biaculeatus (alligator pipefish) is the source of this 74-nucleotide non-coding RNA. The record is from the annotation of a RefSeq genome assembly. NCBI's taxonomy places the organism in Eukaryota, Metazoa, Chordata, Actinopteri, Syngnathiformes, Syngnathidae.